CCCAGAGGUCGCCAAAGGAAGCUGCUAACACGUUUUUUGGGAGUCAUAAACAGGAUUGUGGGAUUCACAAUGGAAGAUAGAAUGUUUAUUGACAAGCUGAACGGACCGGAGAAUUGGGCAACGUGGAAAUUUCAACUGGAGCACCUGUUGAAGGCAAAGGACUGUGGGGUAUGGUACAAGAGACGGAGCAGCUAGCUGCGGAUGCUAAUGCCCAAGUACGAGCUGAAUUUGAACGGAAGAAGGAAAAGGCUUUUUCAGUGCUGGUACUGAAUUGGGAGCUGCUGCCAAGAAGGGAAACACAGUGAAGUUCAAAAGGACUCAUUGCUACAUAAGAGGAAAGAAUGGAGCUCUCCAUGGAAUGGGAACACAACGAUCUGACGGAUUGUAUCAGCUGGACAUCGAGGGAAACUGCACAACUUGUCAUGGAGCGUCAACUGCAUCAGUUCCAACAAAAUCAGCAGAGAGCAUGACGAACUUAAAGGACACUCUGAAGAAACACUACAAAAUGAAGGACAUGGGUGAGCUAUCGUACAUUCUGGGCAUCUC
Long non-coding RNA from Oreochromis aureus, 546 nucleotides. Lineage: Eukaryota; Metazoa; Chordata; Actinopteri; Cichliformes; Cichlidae. The record is from Ensembl.